GCCCGCUUGGGUCAGCCGGCCGAGGCCACGGCGGCCUUGGACGGCGCCGAGUUUCGGUUCGGCGCGACGCCGAUCCUCGCCGCGGCGCGGGCGC
RNAcentral lists this transfer RNA (94 nucleotides) under Burkholderia lata. RNAcentral describes it as "tRNA-Pro". Lineage: Bacteria; Pseudomonadati; Pseudomonadota; Betaproteobacteria; Burkholderiales; Burkholderiaceae. The record is from RNAcentral.